GCCUGAGCACGUCCCUUGUCCCAACAGGAGAAGGGGGAGGGUUAAUCACGUCUAUCCGCCAUUUUCUGAGCGGAGGAGGAAGACAUGUUGGAACAAAAAAAAAAAAACAACAAAAGAAAGCAGCCAUUUCCAGUACCAGCUCCAAACUCUCAACCUCAUCAAGAACACUGACUCUCACAGAAACAAGCUCAUGCUUUCUUCUGAUCACUUUAAGAAUUUCUCAUAGCUCACAAACUGCUGAAGAUCUCACUUUCAGUGCACAGCAUGUAAGCCUGAGAACACGGUAUGGGGCAGGGAAAGGGAGCUACAAGGAUACACAGCUAGUUGUUAAGCUUAGAAUGGAGUAUUUUUCCCAGCAGUCCAACUCCUUCUAGAGUAAGUCUCUUAUGGUGGUGUCCCAGCUCACAGGAACAUUAAAGGAAAGUCACCAUACUUGGCACAUAUAAUUGAAUCCUACCGUAUAUGCGGGAUGCCAACUCCUCCUUGCAGAAUUUUGUAGAGUUUGCUCUCAUACAGCAGCUGGGGAUGUCUGGCCUUCUGAGACUCCAACUUCACAGCAACUUCCUCCCCGUUGGUGAUGUUGAUCGCCAAAUAGAUGUCCCCGAAGGAGCCCGAGCCGAUUUUCCGCACCAGCUUGUACUUGCCCCCGACGAUGAACUCGGCCUUGGAGCCGCUGCUGCUCGCCAUGGCGAGAGGCGGCUGCGGCGCUCUCUCGGCGCUACGGGGCCCGGGGGAAGGGAGAGGGGAGAGAGGGCUCUACCGCCGCCCCGAGAAGGGAAGAGGGGCAGGGGAGGGAAGGAACGAGAGGGGAGAAGAACGUAGAACGGCGGUCCCCGCCGCUCAGCUCGGGCCGGGCCCUUCGGGCGGCCGCCCCGCUCCGCAGCUCUGCCCCGCUCCCCGGCCGGGCGCCGCUCGGCUCCCCGCGCCCUCCAGAGAGGUGAGAAGCGGCCGCCGAGGUGCUGCGAGGGAGCGGGAGGGGAGAGGGGAAGGGAAACGCGAGGCCCGCUGGCUCCGCCGGGUCCCGGCCGCCGCCGGUCCCUCACUCGGCCGCCGCCGCCAUCUUGUCUCUCAACCGCUGCUAUCGCGGACACAAAAUGCCCCCAGCCUGCAGCCGCCGCUUCUUCACCGCGCGGGGCACGCUGGGAGCGGGGCGGGGCGGCCCCGGCGCUUGCGCUAAGGUGAGGCCGCCUCCUGCCCGCGGCGCGCCUGCGCGACGGGCAGCGCGGGCGGGGAUAAGGCCGAGAGACGGCCGCAGAAAGCCCUCUGCGCGUGCGCGCACACCACCCUCCCGCCGGGCCAAUGACCGCCGUCGGUUUCCAUCCGCCCCCAGCAAUGCGUCGCGACGCGUUCUAGAUGUGCGCAUGCGCGUCACUGAAGCCCGAGCCCGGGCGGAAGAGGAAGGGGAGAAGCGUCUGUGCCCUCCCUGCUCCUUAAAGGGGCUGGGGCGUCUGGGGUGCGGGCAGGGCCUGCCUGGGCCUCGGAGUCAUAAGGUCUGGUGACAGCAAGUAGUGGUCACAGACAGCCGAAUGUCGCUUAGAAGUCCUUUGGAGAUGGCUGUGUUUGCCCAGGGAGAUGGCAGGCAAUGCCCUCGCUGCCUGCACAGCAGCUGUGACACCUCUGCUGGGGCUUUUCCAGGCCGUGUCAGACAUAGAGCCUUGUCCUCUUGUAUCCCAAUUGCCCGCAUUUCACCCGUGAAGUGAAUUUGUGUCCUGCUGCAGUGCUGGGGCUGUAAGCACCUACAGCCUGCAUUCUGUGGGGCUGAGCCCCACCACCUGAAGGGGGCCUACAGGAAAGCUGGGGAGGGACUUUUUAUGAGGGCAGGUAGCGACAGGAUGAGGGGGAAUGGUUUUAAACCAGACGAGGGUAGAUUUAGACUAGAUAUCAGGAAGAAAUUCUUUACUGUGAGGGUGGUGAGACACUGGAAUGGGUUGCUUGGUGAGGUUGUGAAUGCCCCCUCCCUGGAAGGGGGGGGGGGGGGGGGGCAUAACUAGGUGAUUUUAAGGGUCCCUUCCAACCCAAACCAUUCUAUGAUUCUAUGUACACAGCUCUCCAUGACGCUGUGAGCACACAAUAUCUGCCUCGUUACCCCUCCCUGCCCAGCCCGACAGCUUGUGUUAUCCAUCCGACCUUCAGCCCCGGCCUGUCGGGAGGCAGCGCACAGGGCUGGCAAUCCCAGCAGGCCUCACAUUGCUGUGGGAGGUUUCUGAGGCAGUGGUGGGUUUGUGAGGAGCACGAGGGGCCCAUAGCUACUCGUGAGGCUCCUGCCAGGUGCCGAGCAGUGUCACCUGCUGUGAUCACGCAGAGCCAUGAUGUCCCUGCCUUCCCCAGGCAUCUUCACCCAGGCUCCCAGCACAAGCAGC
Molecule: long non-coding RNA, 2360 nt
Filed under: Gallus gallus (chicken)
Lineage: Eukaryota; Metazoa; Chordata; Aves; Galliformes; Phasianidae
Source: RNAcentral